GGGGUAAAAUCCGUAGAUAUCACUAGGAAUACCGAAAGCGAAGGGCGAUCUCCUGGAACAUAACUGACGCUAAGGCGUGAAAGCGUGGGGAGCAAACGGGAUUAGAUACCCCGGUAGUCCCACGCCCUAAACGAUGAACACUAGUCGUCGGGAUGCUAGUCAUCUCGGUGAUGCACUUAACAGAUUAAGUGUUCCGCCUGGGGAGUACGGUCGCAAGAUUAAAACUCAAAGGAAUAGACGGGGACCCGCACAAGUGGUGGAGCAUGUGGUUUAAUUCGAAGAUACGCGAAGAACCUUACCUAGCCUUGACAUUGAAGAAACACACUAGAGAUAGAGUGGUGCCCUUCGGGGAAUCUGAAAACAGGUGCUGCACGGCUGUCGUCAGCUCGUGUCGUGAGAUGUUGGGUUAAGUCCCGCAACGAGCGCAACCCUCGUCCUUAGUUGCCAGCAGGUUAAGCUGGGCACUCUAAGGAGACUGCCUUCGUAAGGAGGAGGAAGGUGAGGACGACGUCAAGUCAUCAUGGCCCUUAUGGCUAGGGCUACACACGUGCUACAAUGGGGCGUACAGAGAGUUGCGAUACCGCGAGGUGGAGCCAAUCUCAUAAAGCGUCUCUCAGUUCGGAUUGAAGUCUGCAACUCGACUUCAUGAAGCUGGAAUCACUAGUAAUCGUAGAUCAGCAAUGCUACGGUGAAUACGUUCCCGGGUCUUGUACUCACCGCCCGUCACACCAUGGGAGUUGAUUUCACCCGAAAUUGGGAAGCUAACCUUCGGGGGGCUACCACUUACGGUGGAAUUAGCGACUGGGGUGAAGUCGUAACAAGGUAGCU
RNAcentral lists this ribosomal RNA (828 nucleotides) under uncultured bacterium. RNAcentral describes it as "bacterial SSU rRNA". It matches the Rfam family "Bacterial small subunit ribosomal RNA", at positions 678 to 1501 of the family's 1533-position model. The record is from RNAcentral.